ACGAAGUAGUGGGGCAACCUGCUACUUAGUGGCGGAAGGGUUAGUAAUACAUGGGUAACUUGCCUUUAACCUGGGGAUAACAGUUGGAAACGACUGCUAAUACCGAAUGGGGUGUGAACAGGGAGUCCUGAACACAUCAAAGUGGGGGAUCGCAAGACCUUGCGGUUAAAGAGAGGCCCAUGGGAUAUCAGCUAGUUGGUGCGGUAAAGGCGCACCAAGG
RNAcentral lists this ribosomal RNA (220 nucleotides) under uncultured Chlamydiales CRG31. RNAcentral's name for it is "partial 16S ribosomal RNA". It matches the Rfam family "Bacterial small subunit ribosomal RNA", at positions 66 to 273 of the family's 1533-position model. Lineage: Bacteria; Pseudomonadati; Chlamydiota; Chlamydiia; Chlamydiales. The record is from RNAcentral.